GCAAAAAAUUAUGACAAUUCACAGAUGAAGUGAAUAACGUUGAUUAUCUCCUAAGAAUGACACAUUUUAAGGUCUGCGAUAUAUUCGAGGCUAAGCGAACCAUUGGUUCUUGUAGAGCUUUCUCAGUUUCCAAGUGUAACCUCUUCAUAUGGCAAGGAGCCAAAACAUUAUGACAAUUCACGGAUGAAGCGAAUAACAUUGAUUAUCUCGUAAGAAUCACACAUAUGAUUCUCAGGUACGGCAGGCCAAAGCCACAGAAGAAGCCAACGGAAGAGGGGCGGGCCAGUGAGGAGACCACCGCCCAAAGACUCCCUCCUUUGUGUUUUGAUCAGUGCCCCCCCGAAUACUUGCCAAUUGAGUGGUUCCAGAAAGAGGACCAGCCCACCCUGGAGGAGAUGCAGCUCCACGCCUGGAUCCAGCAGGCCUGAUAGACACUGGAGUGUGGGGAUGCACCCCACUGACUGCCGGAAUAAUGGCAAUGAGACAGAGAAACAAAUGGCCCAUUGAGGAGAAAAUUAUUUAGAGAAUGGCGAUAAAUGGAGAUAUAGAAUGGAGAUAUACACCAGUGAGCCAAAAAUUGACAAUUCACAGAUGAAGUGAAUUAUCUCCUAAGAAUGACACAUGUCUUUAAGGCCUGCGAUAUAUUCGAGGGUACGGCAGGCCAAAGCCACAGAAGAAGCCAACGGAAGAGGGGCGGGCCAGUGAGGAGACCACGGCCCAAAGACUCCCUCCUCCACCAAGAACAGUUCCGAGUAGCCCGGCUGGGCCAAUCAGAGGAGCUCUACCUUCACUGCCAACUCGACGGGCACCCCUGCCAAGCCCUGGUGGACACGGUGUCCACCAUCACCCGGCCUGGCGUGCUCCCCAACACCACGGGCACACUUCCACCAAGCUGAGAACGGCGACUGGUGAACGAGCAGAGACGAGAGGAUGCAAGCUGCUGUGCGUCAGCAAACCCACCAUGACUUCUGGCUGGUCAUGGUCAUGGUCACUAAAACAUAGGCGUAGUAAAAUAGCUUAUAGUGAGUUGUAAUAUUUAGAAAAAGUAAAUACGGAGUGGCUUCACCUCAAUGUAAUGUAUUUGGACUUGGCAAUUAAAAAUAAUGAUGUCCUCUGAAAAGGGGUGGUGGUGGAGGGAUUAAUAAUAAAAGAAAAAAAAGAAAGUUCAG
Molecule: long non-coding RNA, 1169 nt
Organism: Conger conger (European conger)
Lineage: Eukaryota; Metazoa; Chordata; Actinopteri; Anguilliformes; Congridae
Exons: 3
Source: RefSeq, a predicted model, not a curated record